Molecule: non-coding RNA, 225 nt
Filed under: Clostridium sp.
Lineage: Bacteria; Bacillati; Bacillota; Clostridia; Eubacteriales; Clostridiaceae
Description: T-box sequence
Rfam family: T-box leader
About the family: Uncharged tRNA acts as the effector for transcription antitermination of genes in the T-box leader family. T-boxes are found upstream of many aminoacyl-tRNA synthetase genes and some amino acid biosynthetic genes usually in Gram-positive bacteria. The anticodon of a specific tRNA base pairs to a specifier sequence within the T-box motif, and the NCCA acceptor tail of the tRNA base pairs to a conserved bulge in the T-box antiterminator hairpin.
Source: RNAcentral
AAAAAAACGUUGAUGAAGAAAAGUAAUAUUAAGAUUCCUUAAAAGAGAGUCCUAGAUGGUGAGAAUGGAUACUGAUAUUAAUAUGAAAGAACACUUCGGAGUUCUUUUUCUGAAAUAAUAGUAGGAAAAAGCGCGAGGAAAAAGAUGCGUUAUUCUUUAAUGAGUGAUCAUAGAAAUAUGAUAAACUGGGUGGUACCACGGAUAUAACAGUUAUUCGUCCCUUUA